This 435-nucleotide ribosomal RNA is filed under the name uncultured bacterium. RNAcentral describes it as "partial 16S ribosomal RNA". It matches the Rfam family "Bacterial small subunit ribosomal RNA", at positions 29 to 507 of the family's 1533-position model. The record is from RNAcentral.
AGCGAACGCUGGCGGCAGGCUUAACACAUGCAAGUCGAACGGGCAUAGCAAUAUGUCAGUGGCAGACGGGUGAGUAACGCGUGGGAACGUACCUUUUGGUUCGGAACAACACAGGGAAACUUGUGCUAAUACCGGAUAAGCCCUUACGGGGAAAGAUUUAUCGCCGAAAGAUCGGCCCGCGUCUGAUUAGCUAGUUGGCAGGGUAAUGGCCUACCAAGGCGACGACCAGUAGCUGGUCUGAGAGGAUGAUCAGCCACAUUGGGACUGAGACACGGCCCAAACUCCUACGGGAGGCAGCAGUGGGGAAUAUUGGACAAUGGGCGAAAGCCUGAUCCAGCCAUGCCGCGUGAGUGAUGAAGGCCCUAGGGUUGUAAAGCUCUUUUGUGCGGGAAGAUAAUGACGGUACCGCAAGAAUAAGCCCCGGCUAACUUCGUG